UUGAACGCUGGCGGCAGGCCUAACACAUGCAAGUCGAGCGGAUGAGAGGAGCUUGCUCCUUGAUUUAGCGGCGGACGGGUGAGUAAUGCCUAGGAAUCUGCCUGGUAGUGGGGGAUAACGUUCCGAAAGGAACGCUAAUACCGCAUACGUCCUACGGGAGAAAGCAGGGGACCUUCGGGCCUUGCGCUAUCAGAUGAGCCUAGGUCGGAUUAGCUAGUUGGUGAGGUAAUGGCUCACCAAGGCGACGAUCCGUAACUGGUCUGAGAGGAUGAUCAGUCACACUGGAACUGAGACACGGUCCAGACUCCUACGGGAGGCAGCAGUGGGGAAUAUUGGACAAUGGGCGAAAGCCUGAUCCAGCCAUGCCGCGUGUGUGAAGAAGGUCUUCGGAUUGUAAAGCACUUUAAGUUGGGAGGAAGGGCAGUAAGCUAAUACCUUGCUGUUUUGACGUUACCGACAGAAUAAGCACCGGCUAACUUCGUG
Molecule: ribosomal RNA, 483 nt
Filed under: uncultured bacterium
Lineage: Bacteria
Description: partial 16S ribosomal RNA
Rfam family: Bacterial small subunit ribosomal RNA
Source: RNAcentral